GAGUUCACUAGUGAUUCAGGCCUAACACAUGCAAGUCGAGCGGUAGAGAGAAGCUUGCUUCUCUUGAAAAAAAAGGACGGGUGAGUGAUGCCUAGGAAUCUGCCUGGUAGUGGGGGAUAACGUUCGGAAACGGAGGCUAAUAGCGCAUACGUCCUACGGGAGGAAGCAGGGGACCGUGGGGCCGUGCGGUAUCAGAUGAGCCUAGGUCGGAUUAGGUAGUUGGUGAGGUAAUGGCUCACCAAGGCUACGAUCCGUAACUGGUCUGAGAGGAUGAUCAGUCACACUGGAUUUGGGGGGCGGUCCAGACUCCUACGGGAGGCAGCAGUGGGGAAUAUUGGACAAUGGGC
Molecule: ribosomal RNA, 347 nt
Filed under: uncultured bacterium
Lineage: Bacteria
Description: partial 16S ribosomal RNA
Rfam family: Bacterial small subunit ribosomal RNA
Source: RNAcentral